Molecule: transfer RNA, 74 nt
Filed under: Marmota monax (woodchuck)
Lineage: Eukaryota; Metazoa; Chordata; Mammalia; Rodentia; Sciuridae
Description: tRNA.Ser
Rfam family: tRNA
About the family: Transfer RNA (tRNA) molecules are approximately 80 nucleotides in length.
Source: RNAcentral
UUGGGGUUGUAGUUCAGUGGUAGAGCACUUGCCUACUACACAGGAGAACUUGGGGUUCAAUUCCCAGCACUAAA